Molecule: long non-coding RNA, 6469 nt
Filed under: Daucus carota (carrot)
Lineage: Eukaryota; Viridiplantae; Streptophyta; Magnoliopsida; Apiales; Apiaceae
Description: long non-coding RNA (DCAR_LNC003216)
Source: RNAcentral
UCCAUCCCUGCACAUCAUGGCGGAACCUAAACAACUCUCUUAACUGCUAAAAGCGCAUUAGGAAUUCAGAGAUGAGUCACAGUGUUCUGGAGGCGCUAUUCUUGUGGAUUAAAUUAUUAGGUCAUGAUCUUAAUUUAUUGCUUGUAAAUCAUAAAUCAGUAUAAGAGAAGUACAGGAAACAAGGCCAAGGAGAGGCACUGCUACGUGCAGCAAUUGAGAAAUGCAUAGCUAGAGAUGUCCACUGAAUAUCACUUCAAGUAGACCUGUCAAGAACUGCUGCCUUGAAUCUUCACAAGUACUUUGGCUUCCAAGUUGAUAGUCUUGUGGAACGACACUACUCUUGUGGAACAUAAUCGUAAGACUAAAUUUUUAGCAAAACAAAAUUAAUCAUGAGAAAAAUAUAAGAUGCAUCAAUGGGGAAGAAACACAUAAUAAACAAAAAAAUAGUAAACAAUACACACCUUGGAUCAUAAACAUCAACAAACAUCAACAAAUGCGACAAGUUCAAUCCUGUCAUCAGGACAAUAAGAGCUUUUUAGCUCUGUUUAGCAUAUCAUACAGAACAAAUAUAAUGUGACAAGAAUAAUACAACAAUCUAGGAGAUCUCAGUACCAUGAUUGAAUAAAUGUGACAACUGUCUGUGGCAUAUCAUGCAGAACAGAGAUGAUGUAACAAGAAUAAUACAACAAUCUAGGAGAUCUCAGUACCAUGAUUGUAUAACUGUAAGAACAGAAGAGUUCUGAUCAAUGAAAACUCAUUCUACAAAAUGAAUAAAUUGCAAUCGAACCAGAGGAUCAACAGAUGCUUGCUGCUCUUCAAGCACAUUAUGUGCACUGCCAGCUGAAAAGUGAGUGAACAGAAGUAACUGAAUAUAGAUUUAACACUUAAAGUGUAGUAGCAGUCAUCAAUACCAAAUAUAAUCAUUGUCAUGCAAAUAUUAGCUACUUAACAAAAGGAAGCAACAACAUAAAGAUAGAACAGUUGUUAACAUAGACCAGACAUCAAGACACUGAACUCAGACUUGAUAACCCCCAUAGAGACAGAGGACAAGGUGAAGAGAAGACACCUUCGGGAUAUUAUAGCCUGCCAAAAUUCUUCCAUGCUCCAACUGCUUCCCAGCAAAAAUAAGCCUCUGCUGAUCUGGAGGGAUCCCCUCCUCCUGAAUCUAUGCCUUCACAUUAUCAAUGGUAUCUGAGCUCUAAACCUUAAGUGUAAUCGUCUUUACAAAAAUUUGCAUUCCACCACGAAGAUGAAGAACCAAGUGAAGUGUUGACUCCUUUUGGAUGUUGAAAUCCGUUAGUGUACGACCAUCCUCAUGCUGCUUACCUGCAAAUAUCAAUCUCUACUGGUCUAGGGGAAUACCUUCCUUAUCUUGGAUCUUAGCCUUGACUUGAUAGUGUCGGAGCUCUCAACCUCCAACAUAAUGGUCUUACCGGUAAGGGUUUUCACAAAAAUUUGCAUUCCACCACCGAGUCAAAGAAGAUGGCCAUCCUCAAGCUGUUUAGCCGCAAAUAUCAGCCUCUGCUGGUCCAGGGAUCCCUUUCAUUAUCCUUAACAUUAUCAUUUAUGUCUGAUUGUCCGAUUUCUCAACCUCGAGAGUAAUAGUCUUGCUUGUCAGAGUCUUAACAAAGAUCUGCAUCCCUCUUCUAAGCCGAAGAACCCAAAUGUAGAGUCGAUUCCUUCUAAAUAUCAUAAUCAAGCGAAGGUUCAUCGAUCCUCCAGCUGUUUCCCAGCAAAGAUCAACCUCUGCUGAUACUGAGAGAUCAGCUCCUUUUCCUAUAGACUUAGCAUCAUCCGUCGUACAGAACUUUCGACCUCGAGAGUAAUAGCAUUGCCACUAAGCCUUUUUAACAAAAUUUUGCAUCUGUACAAUUAGCGAACAACAAUCAGAAACCACAUAAACAUAUAACACAUAGAUAUCAAUCCCGAAAAAAUCGGAUCAGAUCAAAACACUAAAACGUAACGCGAAACAAAACAGUAACACUAUAACACAAUAAUUGGUAUUGGUAGAGCGACAAUAUUUAAUGAGAAACGAUUAUAUCAAUUUGAAGCGUAAAACCCUGCAUGAUACGAUUACAAGAAAUAAACCCUCGAAAAAAUAUCAAAAUAAAAAUGAAACUAUAUAUAACCACAUACAAAUCGAAACUAAGCUGUAAAUUAUAAAUUAGAUUAAAUUAGAUUAAGGGGCAUACUUGAUUUGUGAAGUGUGGAGACCAGAGAGUAAUUGAAGAAGCGAAUUUGGGACGAUGCAAUAAUUUGCAUGGUUAUAUAUAGGGUUUGCUUUUGCUUACCAGUAACGCUACGCGCCUCGCGUUACACGCGGCUUUUUUGGGUGGCUUAGCUGUAACGCUACGUUUUCACGUGUUACAUACAGGUCCACGCGUUAAGCAGACGCACGAUAAACAUGCGUUAUUGCCCCCUGUCUUCGAAGUAUUUUUGUUAUUUUAAAUAAAUAUUUAUUAGUUUAUAAGAAAAAAACUAAUGCAACAAAUUGAAAUAAUUGAAUUAUGAUAUUAUUCGAAAUCAAUCAGGUUUUAGUAUUAAUGUGUCGCACAUGAUUGAUAUUACAUGUCAUAUUUAUUUAACAUCAUUAUUUAACUAUUUGAUAUAUAAAACCACUUUUUAUAUAUUAUUUAAUAUUUAACAUUAUAUAUUUCAUAUAUAUUGGAAUUAUAUGACAAUACAUCGCGGGGUGUACAAAUGUGUCAUUAACCUUUUAUGUUAAAUUAAAAAUACAGCGUAGAGUGUACUUUACGGUGUACUUUUUUAAUAUUGUAUAUCUAAAUAUAUUAAUUAAUUAUUUUUUAACGGAAAGAGAUAAUUCAAUAAAUAACAGCAACAAACAUAUAAUUGAUUAACACGCAUGUCUUCAAAAAACUCUCACUAGGGAGGGAAAUCAAACUAUAAUUAUAACAAACGAGAGAGAAUCCAACUACAAACUAAAACGAUUAGAUAUGCACCGUGAACCUAUACUAAAAGAUAAUCGAUCCAUUCACAAAUCCAAAAAACCCUCUGCAAGUGAAUAAGAACGAAAAUCGAAAAAUUCGCUUAUAUAGAUCUAAGAAAACUUUGCCCAAAGAGGGAGAUUUAUUAAGAAAAUCAAUAAAACAAUCAAGAAAAACCAAAAAACAAGGAAUUAAACAGAAAGAUUUGGGACUUUCUGCAGGAAAACCGGUGGAAGUCCCGUCGGAAUGAGAAAAGAGGGAGGAUGCGGCGAGAGAGAAGAGAGAAAAAAAACUAGGGUUUUGUGGCUAUAUUAAUUAAUUUAAUUAAUUAUCAAAAUACAAAUACAAUAUAUUAUCUUAUUUUAUUUUAAUGUUAUUAACCUUAGAGACUAUUAAAAUAAUAAUAAAUUAUUAAAAAUUAUAAUAAAAAAUACCAGACACAGGACGAGUUUUAAACUACGAAAGUCUAUAUAGUAUACACUAUACAGGGUUUGCUUUUGCGUACCGGUAACGCUACGCGGUAUUUACGCACGUUUUUUUUGUUGUUGGCUUAGCUGUAACGCGAGGUACUCACGCGUCACAACUUGCAUACAGUCUCUUCGCGUUAAGCUUACGCACGAUGCACAGGCGUUAUUCCCCUGUCCUCGAAUAAUUUCUACUAUUUUUAAUAAUUAAUUAUUAGUUUAUAAGAUAAAAACAAUGCAAAAAUCGAAAGAAAAUGAAUUACGCUAUUUCCUCACCCAUCGAAAGCUGAAACGGUACUCUAUAGUCUAUCCCGCCUUGAACGUAAACGUGGGAAUGAGAUUCCCACAUAAAUUCAUUAAAUUAAUUUUUGACUUAAAAAAUUAUAAUAUAUUUUCAAUGAUAUAAUUAAAAUUAAAAUUAUUUAAUAAAUUAGAUAUUAUAUUAUUUUUAUUUUUAAAUAAUAAUUUAGAUAUCAAUUCAAAUUUAUAUUUAAUUAUAGUAAAAUAAAUAUAAAACUAGAUUUGUAAUAAUUAUUUUGCAUAACUUAAUGCGGAAACAUUUUAUCAAUAAAAUAUAGAAAAUAUAUUCAGUAUUGUUAUUUAUAUAUUACUAGUAUAUAUAUAUAUAUAUAUAUAUAUAUAUAUAUAUAAUAUAAACAUAAUUUUUAUAUUACAUAUAACAAUUAUUUUUUUAAAAAAAGAAGACGCCAAUCCCCGACUCAUCUCCAAACUUUUUUAUAAUUUUUCUCCCAGGUGUAUUAAAAAUUGGACGAUUCAAAGUCAAGCAUCAAAGAACAACAUUAUUAAAAUAUUCCGAAACAAACCAAACAACAAAUAGCAACCGUGUUAAAACAUCGGAAACAAACCAAAGAACUAAGAGCAAGAGCAUUAGAUGGAUAAAGACAAUAACACUAUGUACUGCCUAGUUUAGCAUAUAUCUAUGAUGCCUGCAGUAACAACAAUAAUAAUGGCAAAAACAUAAGAAAGAAAGUUUGUAAUUAAUGUACAAAGAUAGAUCAUAAGUAGUAAAAUAGAAGUAAAGCAGUGAUUAGUGACUAGUUUACAUGUUGAAGAAACACACCUUAAACAAUAGCUUCUCUAGGGAUCCUUCAAAUUCUAUAAGAACAAUGUCCUUGUAUAAUGUUUCUAUAAUGACACUGUAGAUCUGACUGGAAAGUCAAAUUGUUUCCACUUUGGUAAGUUGUUCAUGCAAAAUAAUUAUUUAUGGAAGUGAAUCGUUAUUACAGACGAUCUACUAAUCUACUAGAAUUUCUUAUAAUCAUAUACAAGUGCUGAAGUGUUAAAUCUACCUGGACAUUACCUUCUAUUCCUUGUGUUAGAAUAUGCUUGUUCUUUCGCUGUUCAUUCAUAUGCAUGUUUCCUUCCCCAGAACAUUAUAUGCCCAUCUGUAUCUUUUGAAACAAAGAACUAAAUGCCUUCUGUACUUCGAAUCUGCAAAAUUACAAACAAAACACUAUGAAAUCUGGUUAAACCAUAGUAAGAGAUUUUCUUCAGACAAAGUUAUAAUAUACAAAAACUUCUAUCAAGAAACAUUAACUGAUAGAACAGGUGAACACCCCUUCAAGCCUUCUAGGCAAGAUAUCUAAAAUGCAAUCCACAAAUCUCUGCAUCAACAUUAUUUUCGACAAUACAUGUGACUGAAGGAUAAAAAACCAUCGACUAGUCAAGAGGAUUAGCAAAUUUGACAAGUACAAUCCCGACAUCAGGGCAAUAGAAGCUUUCAACUCUGUUUAGUCAUGCAGAACGAAGAUAAUGAACUAAGAAUAACACAAAGGUGUGAGAAUUGAGAAAUUUCAGUACCCUAAUUGUUUAACUGUAAGAACAGAAGUAUUUAGAUUAAUAAAAACUCAUUCUGCAUAAUGAAGAAAUUAUGUAGAUAACAGAUGAUUGCUGCUUAUUUAAUAUAUAUCAGCUAGUGGUCUAACACAUUAUGUACACUGCUAAUUAAACAGUCAGAGAAUAGAUUUAACUGAACAUAAAUUUAUCACUUAGAAUAGUUGUGGUACACUCCAUUAAAACAAAAUAUAAUCAUUGUCAUGCAAAUAUUAGUUCACUUGACAAAAGGAGAAAACAACAGAAAGAUUGAACAUUUGUUAAUACAGACCAGAGAUCAAGACCCUGAACUUAAACUUGAUAACCACCACGAAGAAGGGGACGAGGUGAAGAGUAGAGUCCUUCUGGAUAUUAUAGUCUGCCAAAGUUCUUCCAUCCUCCAACUGCUUCCCAGCAAAAAUAAGCCUUCGCUGAUCUGGAGGGAUCUCCUCCUUAUCCUGACUCUUUGCCAUCACAUUAUCAAUGGUACAAAAAUUUGCUUACGCAUUUAAAAUUAACAUGCUUAUGCAAGCCGGUCUCAAGUACAUACCUUACAAUUUAACCUUUCGAUAUUUCUCCUAUGCGGGUAUCAGCACCUCAUAAAACAUUCUUGUUGGUGGUUAUUAGAGCUCUGUGUGUUUAAGUAGAUAGGCAAGAUAGCAAGGCCCUUUCUUUUUUAUUUGGAAGCUAGAUUGUGUAAAUCAACCCAACACUAUUUGUCACAGAACAUUCAAGUUAUCUAGAAAAUAACCUCAUCUGUAUAUGCUUAUAUAUGCACACAGACUUCAUAUAUCUUCUAUUUCAAGUGGUAAAAUUUUUAGGCUGGCUUGUAAUUUCUUCUUUGUAAAUGUGUUGAACCACAAUGUUAGGCAUAUAAGUAGGCAAGGUAAGGAAAGUGGUUACAGACUAACAGGUAAUUGUACCGUUGGUCCAUCCCUGCACAUUAUGGCGGAACCUAAACAACUUCUUAACUACUAGAAGCGCAUUAGGAAGUCAUAUAUAUAGAUGACCUAAACAACUUCUUAACUGCUAAAAGCACAUUAGGAAGUCAUAUAGAUGAGUCAUAGUGUUCUGGAUGCGCUAUUCUUGUGGAUUGAAUUAUUAGGUAACGAUCUUAUUUUAUUGCUUGUAAAUCAUAAAUCGGUAAAAGAAAAGUACAGGAGACAAGGCCAAGGAGAGGCACUGCUACAUGCAGCAAUAGAGAAAUGCAGAGCUAGAAAUGUCCGC